Long non-coding RNA from Oryctolagus cuniculus (rabbit), 1592 nucleotides. The record is from Ensembl. NCBI's taxonomy places the organism in Eukaryota, Metazoa, Chordata, Mammalia, Lagomorpha, Leporidae.
CCUAAUAACCAAUAUAUCAAGGAGAGAGUGAGCAGCCCUUUUGUUAAAAUUUAUUCCAUGUGUCAUAUCAACUGUAAGUCACACAUCAAUAUUUUCUAAUAGACUUAACAGAAAACUAGCAGUUGCUUCUAAACACCAUGAAAUUGAUAAUGUAGAGAGAAAAACACUGCUUGUCGUACUUUAAAUCCCGAGAGUCAAUCAGAUUUGUUGUUACCGUAUAAUUUUCCCUUCACAAUCUUUCCUGUCUGGAGAGCCCACACAUAUAAAAGAAAAGAUUUCUCUUUUAUAGCAGUGCAUAAAAUAACCAUAGCAAAUGUUGCUGUUUCCCACAAACCAGAACUAAGGUAGCUAAGUCACAUUUAUCAGACUACUGGUAAGUUGCCAAGAGUCAAAAUACUUUCCAGCUACUUAACUCAAGGGGCAAGUUCAAGGGUCCACAAGAUCUCUUGAGAUGAUGGGAAAAUAAUAGGAUGAGGACAAUUCUGUCAUGUUACUUUGUACACUCAUUAUUUUCACUGCUGAUAGGAAAGAGAUUGAACAGUGUGAAGUACUUUAUUCUCUCAGGGCCAUUAAUCUCUGAGUAAUGUUCCAGCCAAAAGAUGGGUCUGGACAUGCCAGAUAUAUUCAAAUUAACAGACUCUUUUAAAUGAAAAGAGUGAAGACUUGGAUACAGUGAGAGUUAGAAAGAAGCUUAUGCAGGCAGGGAACUCCAUAUUUCUUACAGACAUAGGAAGAACUGGCUUCUCAGUUGGGAGAUAAGGAACCACAAACUUACAGAAACCAUAUUGCAUCUGUGGAAGUCAUUUGGAUCAACUGAUGAUACUCUCAACUUGACAAUACUGAAUGGAAGGAAAAACAUCAAGUAUGUUUCUCUUUUGAAGAUUCACCUACUACAUCAACACAAAUAUGGUCAGAGGGGAUGGAAGUGACCCACCAAAGCAUGGGGGCUUUAGCAUGGCAACUAGAGUGGGUUCAAUUCCCAUGACUUCAAAAUAUGAUAAACAGAGCCAAUCCUCUCUUUAGGCAGACCUAUCAAACCAUAUGUUAGCCAGAACUCUUCUGUAGACAGGGAUGUGUGAAUUUCACGUAUGCUAAGUGUACUGUUUAGGGAACUAUAAUAACGGGAUCGGUUUGGUAAUUGGAAUAAUUUAUUUCACUGUUAAACAUAUGCUGGGCCUAGCCCAAGAGAUCAUGUCACUGGAUUAUUGUGGAGAAUGGAAUGCAAUGAAACUAUUUAGCAAACAUUUUUAAGCUAAUGCUUAAUUAAAAGCACUUGUGAUGAGCCUUAUUACUGGUAUUUGUCCUUGGAUUGACUUGCUCUUGCAGUUCUAACCAAGUAGCCCAAAUAAGUGGUGUAAAUAUAUAUUUGUGCCGAACACAAAGAAAGAUAUAGAGAAAGGGCCGUAAGCAUUGAUACAUGGGCUAAAUGUCGUUCACUUAUUGAUUUUAUAAAUUAAGUUUUAUUAAGCUGCACUCAUUUGCUUAUGUUUAAAUGUACUUUCACACUAAACAGCACAGUUGAAUAUUUCCAAUAGAGAUAUUCUGGUAUGAAAAGUCUGAAAUAUUUAGUAUCAGGCCCUUUUUAGAAAGUC